RNAcentral lists this ribosomal RNA (459 nucleotides) under uncultured bacterium. RNAcentral describes it as "partial 16S ribosomal RNA". It matches the Rfam family "Bacterial small subunit ribosomal RNA", at positions 338 to 795 of the family's 1533-position model. The record is from RNAcentral.
CCUACGGGCGGCAGCAGUGAGGAAUAUUGGUCAAUGGGCGGGAGCCUGAACCAGCCAAGCCGCGUGAGGGAAGAAGGUACAGCGUAUCGUAAACCUCUUUUGUCAGGGAACAAAGGCGGGGACUAGUCCCCGGAUGAGGGUACAUGAAGAAAAAGCAUCGGCUAACUCCGUGCCAGCAGCCGCGGUAAUACGGAGGAUGCGCGCGUUAUCCGGAUUUAUUGGGUUUAAAGGGUGCGCAGGCGGCCUGUUAAGUCAGCGGGAAAAGCCCGGGGCUCAACCCCGGCGAGCCGGUGAAACUGGCGGGCUGGAGUUGGAGAGAAGUACGCGGAAUGCGCGGUGUAGCGGUGAAAUGCUUAGAUAUCGCGCAGAACCCCGAUUGCGAAGGCAGCGUACCGGCUCCACACUGACGCUGAGGCACGAAAGCGUGGGUAUCGAACAGGAUUAGAUACCCCAGUAGUC